This 484-nucleotide ribosomal RNA is filed under the name uncultured bacterium. Its description in RNAcentral is "partial 16S ribosomal RNA". It matches the Rfam family "Bacterial small subunit ribosomal RNA", at positions 30 to 507 of the family's 1533-position model. The record is from RNAcentral.
AUUGAACGCUGGCGGCAGGCCUAACACAUGCAAGUCGAGCGGAUGAAGGGAGCUUGCUCCUGGAUUCAGCGGCGGACGGGUGAGUAAUGCCUAGGAAUCUGCCUCGUUGGGGUGGGUGACGUCCGGAGACGGGCGCUAAUACCGCCUACGUCCUGAGGGAGAAAGUGGGGGAUCUUCGGACCUCACGCUAUCAGAGGAGCCUAGGUCGGAUUUGCUAGUUGGUGGGGUAAAGGCCUACCAAGGCGACGAUCCGUGACUGGUCUGAGAGGAUGAUCAGUCACACUGGAACUGGGACACGGCCCAGGCUCCUACGGUAGGCAGCAGUGGGGAAUAUUGGACAAUGGGCGGAAGCCUGAUCCAGCCAUGCCGCGUGUGUGAAGAAGGUCUUCGGAUUGUAAAGCACUUUAAGUGGGGAGGAAGGGCAGUAAGUUAAUACCUUGCUGUUUUGACGUUACCAACAGAAUAAGCACCGGCUAACUUCGUG